RNAcentral lists this long non-coding RNA (1639 nucleotides) under Physcomitrium patens. RNAcentral describes it as "long non-coding RNA (PPAT_LNC012546)". The record is from RNAcentral. Lineage: Eukaryota; Viridiplantae; Streptophyta; Bryopsida; Funariales; Funariaceae.
UUCAUGGAUUUAUUAAAAAGACAAAAUACCAAGAUAAUAAAUAAAAAUAAAAUCGAAAUAGUUUGUUUUUUAAAAUUUUCAUUGAGCAUUUUAUAAUAAUAUAUCAGCAUAUUAAAAUCAUUAAAAAAUUACAUGCAAUGCAUGUUUACAUUUCCAUGAGUAAUAGUCUUAGUUUAAAGUUUUUUUAAUUUUUAAUUUUUUUAAUUUUUUUCUUAGUAGAUGGCUUUGUACAUUCUGGAUGUUGAAGUAUAUAAGAAAAAUUCCCUGUUUCUGAAAACAUUUAUUUAAGGAAUUUUGAAAGUUGUAGAAUGUAUAUUUUAUGCUUUAUCUAAAAAAAAUAAUUCAAAUUAAAAUCGAAAAAGAAAAUUUCUAACAAAUGUUUAAUUUCUCAACCCGAUGGUCUUGCUUUUGAAUGUUUUACAUAUAAUUGUGUUGUUUUGAAUUUAAGUUUACCUGUAAAUUGUAGUCUCAUGUAAUGUGGUGCUGUUUAAAUAAUGAAAUAUUAACCAGCAUUAUGAGAUAUCACAGUAGUAAUUACUGCAUCAUUUCUUUCUGAAUAAACCACAAGAUAGGAAAUAAAACUUCAACAAACACAAUCACAUGCAUCAUGUUAACAUGUUUAAACGGACUAAUUUGUAUCAAAACAUAAGAAAGUUUAAAUAAUGAAUUGUGUUUUAUUUUUAUUUUUUAUUUUUUUGAAUGUAAUUUCAGGUUUUUGAAUGAGUCAUAUAAAUUUUAAAAAUUUGCAUGAAUUGUUUUUGGGCACUAGACUUUAUUUUGUAUUUCAUUUCAUUUCAUUUUAUUUUAUUGUAAUUUAGUGAAUCAGAAAGUACAUCAGUUACUGCAAAUGAAUUUAUUUUUAUAUAUUAUGAUAAUAUUAAAGUUUUUUUUUUUUUUUUUUUUGAAAAUAUUAUAAAAACCAAAGUAUUGAUUACUUGAAUUUUCGUGACAAGAAUGUGGCAAUUGGUGGCUAUAUUAAUACCUUCUAUAUGAUUUUUCAAAGUGUAGAUUGAAUAAAGUAUGUUUUAAAAUAUAAUGCUUGCCAUGAAAAGUCGACAUUUAAUUUUCACAUGAUUUUAAGUAUAAAAAGAAAAAUGAAUAAAAACGAACACGCUGUUAUGAGAAAUCGUGGCUGAUAUCAAUUUUGAUUUUUUUGGGGAUAUAUUUAUGUAAAGUGCAAGGUUGAUCCUUACAAAAGGAAACAUAAUAUUAAUUAUGAAUCAUUUUAAUUUUGAAAGGAUGAAGUUGGGUAUUACUUUCGAGUUGUACAAACUUAAUUGGAUUUUAUUUUCUACUUUUGAGAUUGGUGACAACUUUUAUUAUGACAUUUGACAAAUUCUGUUUUAUUGUGAUGCAAACCUCGUCCUAUUUCAUAAACAUACUUAAGCGUGUAAACUUGGUAUCUUAAAAAUGGAAAUUAUUAAUAAAAAUGGUAAGAUCUUGGAUGAGACAGGAUCAAAAUGGUUCUCAAGCCAUGCUUGCAUCUUCGUCAUUGUGUGCAAGGAUUUUAUUCCGAUCACUUUUCGGAUUCUACUCUCAGUUUGUUAUAAAAGAUCUUAAAACUGAUUAACGAAUGGAAUAUGUGUUGAAAAUUUUAAUAUUAAAACAUCUUUCUGAUUCUAAACUGAAGUAGGUUUAC